This 252-nucleotide ribosomal RNA is filed under the name uncultured Bacteroidales bacterium. RNAcentral's name for it is "partial 16S ribosomal RNA". It matches the Rfam family "Bacterial small subunit ribosomal RNA", at positions 524 to 776 of the family's 1533-position model. Lineage: Bacteria; Pseudomonadati; Bacteroidota; Bacteroidia; Bacteroidales. The record is from RNAcentral.
UACGUAGGGGGCAAGCGUUGUUCGGAAUGACUGGGCGUAAAGGGUGCGUAGGCGGAAUAUCAAGUCAGCGGUAAAAAUUCGGGGCUCAACCCCGUCGUGCCGUUGAAACUGAUGUUCUUGAGUGGGCGAGAAGUAUGCGGAAUGCGUGGUGUAGCGGUGAAAUGCAUAGAUAUCACGCAGAACUCCGAUUGCGAAGGCAGCAUACCGGCGCCCAACUGACGCUGAAGCACGAAAGCGUGGGUAUCGAACAGG